Molecule: transfer RNA, 74 nt
Filed under: Candidatus Undinarchaeales archaeon
Lineage: Archaea; Nanobdellati; Candidatus Undinarchaeota; Candidatus Undinarchaeia; Candidatus Undinarchaeales
Description: tRNA-Ala
Rfam family: tRNA
About the family: Transfer RNA (tRNA) molecules are approximately 80 nucleotides in length.
Source: RNAcentral
GGGCUCGUAGCUCAGCUUGGUAGAUCGCCACCUUCGCAAGGUGGAGGCCCAGGGUUCAAAUCCCUGUGGGUCCA